GGAGGGAUCAUUAAAAGAGUCUUGGUUUUCAGAAAUGAGACCGACCCUUCAACCCUUUGUAUUACCAUUCUCUCGUUGCCUCGGGGGAACGCAUCUCGUCGAAAGAUGAGAGGCCCCCGGUGGACAUUACCAAACUCGUUUUUACCAUACAGUCAGAGUAAUUGAUUAAACAAUCAAAACAAAACUUUCAACAACGGAUCUCUUGGUUCUGGCAUCGAUGAAGAACGCAGCGAAAUGCGAUAAGUAAUGUGAAUUGCAGAAUUCAGUGAAUCAUCGAAUCUUUGAACGCACAUUGCGCCCUCUGGUAUUCCGGGGGGCAUGCCCGUUCGAGCGUCAUUACACCUCUCAAGCCUAGCUUGGUGUUGGAGGCUGCGACGGUUCGUCAAAAGACCGCUGCACCUCUCGAAUUGACCGGCCGAUUCAGUCAUCUCUCCGGCGUUGUGCAUUCAUUUGUUCGCCUGUCAGAGAUGAAAGGAUUUCGAAGCCGUUAAGCCUCUUAUUUCAUUAAAGGUUGACCUCGAAUCGGGUAGGGAUACCCGCUGAACUUAAGCAUAUCAAUAAGCGGAGGAAAAGAAACCAACAGGGAUUACCCUAGUAACGGCGAGUGAAGCGGUAACAGCUCAAAUUUGAAAUCUGACGUCCUUUGGGCGCCCGAGUUGUAAUUUGCAGAGGAUGCUUCUGGGUAGUCAACGGUCUAAGUUCCUUGGAACAGGACGUCAUAGAGGGUGAGAAUCCCGUAUGUGACCGACAGGCGCCCUUCACGUAGCUCCUUCGACGAGUCGAGUUGUUUGGGAAUGCAGCUCUAAAUGGGAGGUAAAUUUCUUCUAAAGCUAAAUAUCUGCCAGAGACCGAUAGCGCACAAGUAGAGUGAUCGAAAGAUGAAAAGCACUUUGGAAAGAGAGUUAAACAGCACGUGAAAUUGUUGAAAGGGAAGCGUUUGCUACCAGACUUGUCUGCGGCGUUCAGCCGGUCAUUUGGCCGGUCCACUCGUCGUAUGCAGGCCAGCAUCAUCUGGAGCCGUGGGAUAAUAGUCAUGGAAUGUAGCUCCUCGGAGUGUUAUAGCCAGGACUGAUGCCACGAGUUCCGGGUGAGGUCCGCGCAUUGCUAGGAUGCUGGCGUAAUGGUCGUAAACGGCCCGUCUUGAAACACGGACCAAGGAGUCGAUCACCCACGCGAGUGUUUGGGUGUAAAACCCUCACGCGUAAUGAAAGUGAACGGAGGUGGGAGCUUCGGCGCACCAUCGACCGAUCCUGAUGUCUUCGGAUGGAUUUGAGUAAGAGCGUGGUUGAUCGGACCCGAAAGAUGGUGAACUAUGCCUGAAUAGGGUGAAGCCAGAGGAAACUCUGGUGGAGGCUCGCAGCGGUUCUGACGUGCAAAUCGAUCGUCAAAUUUGGGUAUAGGGGCGAAAGACUAAUCGAACCAUCUAGUAGCUGGUUCCUGC
RNAcentral lists this unclassified non-coding RNA (1441 nucleotides) under uncultured fungus. RNAcentral describes it as "sequence contains 18S rRNA gene, ITS1, 5.8S rRNA gene, ITS2, 28S rRNA gene". The stretch from base 513 to 1441 matches the Rfam family "Eukaryotic large subunit ribosomal RNA", at positions 1 to 961 of the family's 3401-position model. The record is from RNAcentral. Lineage: Eukaryota; Fungi.